GGAGAGGUCGCAUAGCUUGGCCGAGUGCGCGGGCCUGGAAAGCUCGUAACCGAUAAGGUUCGUGGGUUCAAAUCCCACCCUCUCCGCCA
Molecule: transfer RNA, 89 nt
Filed under: Chloroflexota bacterium
Lineage: Bacteria; Bacillati; Chloroflexota
Description: tRNA-Ser
Rfam family: tRNA
About the family: Transfer RNA (tRNA) molecules are approximately 80 nucleotides in length. Their secondary structure includes four short double-helical elements and three loops (D, anti-codon, and T loops).
Source: RNAcentral